GCAUAUCAGUAAGCGGAGGAAAAGAAACUAACAAGGAUUCCCCAAGUAGCGGCGAGCGAACAGGGAAGAGCUCAUCACUAAAUCUCGUGCUCUGUCCGAAAGGGUACCGAGAACUGUAGUGUUUGGGAGGACCGCGAGCGUCUGUCCGACUGGUGCAAGUCUCCAUGAACGGGGCGAGCAACCCAUAGAGGGUGUCAGGCCCGUAGACACACUUCAGUCGAGACCGUGCUGUGGUUACUCUCCCUAGAGUCGGGUUGCUUGAGCGUGCAGCCCUAAGCGGGAGGUAAACUCCUUCUAAAGCUAAAUAUCGCCACGAGACCGAUAGCGAACAAGUACCGCGAGGGAAAGUUGAAAAGAACUUUGAAGAGAG
This 370-nucleotide ribosomal RNA is filed under the name Bosminopsis deitersi. Its description in RNAcentral is "partial large subunit ribosomal RNA". It matches the Rfam family "Eukaryotic large subunit ribosomal RNA", at positions 38 to 385 of the family's 3401-position model. Lineage: Eukaryota; Metazoa; Arthropoda; Branchiopoda; Diplostraca; Bosminidae. The record is from RNAcentral.